Molecule: ribosomal RNA, 291 nt
Filed under: uncultured bacterium
Lineage: Bacteria
Description: partial 16S ribosomal RNA
Rfam family: Bacterial small subunit ribosomal RNA
Source: RNAcentral
GUGCCAGCCGCCGCGGUAAUACGUAGGGUGCGAGCGUUAAUCGGAAUUACUGGGCGUAAAGCGUGCGCAGGCGGUUUUGUAAGACAGUCGUGAAAUCCCCGGGCUCAACCUGGGAAUUGCGAUUGUGACUGCAAGGCUGGAGUGCGGCAGAGGGGGAUGGAAUUCCGCGUGUAGCAGUGAAAUGCGUAGAUAUGCGGAGGAACACCGAUGGCGAAGGCAAUCCCCUGGGCCUGCACUGACGCUCAUGCACGAAAGCGUGGGGAGCAAACAGGAUUAGAAACCUUGUAGUCC